AUCUACGGCCAUGCCACCCUGAAUGUGCCCGAUCUCCUCUGAUCUCGAAAGCUAAGCAGGGUCAGGAUUGGUUAGUACUUGGAUGGAAGACCAUCUAGGAGGACCAGGUGCUGUAGGCA
RNAcentral lists this ribosomal RNA (119 nucleotides) under Pteropus alecto (black flying fox). Lineage: Eukaryota; Metazoa; Chordata; Mammalia; Chiroptera; Pteropodidae. The record is from RNAcentral.